GACGAACGCUGGCGGCGUGCCUAAUACAUGCAAGUAGAACGCUGAAGGAGGAGCUUGCUUCUCUGGAUGAGUUGCGAACGGGUGAGUAACGCGUAGGUAACCUGCCUGGUAGCGGGGGAUAACUAUUGGAAACGAUAGCUAAUACCGCAUAAUAGCAGUUGUUGCAUGACAACUGUUUGAAAGGUGCAAUUGCACCACUACCAGAUGGACCUGCGUUGUAUUAGCUAGUUGGUGGGGUAACGGCUCACCAAGGCGACGAUACAUAGCCGACCUGAGAGGGUGAUCGGCCACACUGGGACUGAGACACGGCCCAGACUCCUACGGGAGGCAGCAGUAGGGAAUCUUCGGCAAUGGACGGAAGUCUGACCGAGCAACGCCGCGUGAGUGAAGAAGGUUUUCGGAUCGUAAAGCUCUGUUGUAAGAGAAGAACGAGUGUGAGAGUGGAAAGUUCACACUGUGACGGUAUCUUACCAGAAAGGGACGGCUAACCACGUG
Molecule: ribosomal RNA, 495 nt
Filed under: uncultured bacterium
Lineage: Bacteria
Description: partial 16S ribosomal RNA
Rfam family: Bacterial small subunit ribosomal RNA
Source: RNAcentral